Molecule: non-coding RNA, 72 nt
Organism: Phrynosoma platyrhinos (Desert horned lizard)
Lineage: Eukaryota; Metazoa; Chordata; Lepidosauria; Squamata; Phrynosomatidae
Source: the annotation of a GenBank genome assembly
GCCAGUGUGGUGUAGUGGUUUAAGUGUUAGAUUAUUACUCUGGAGACCAGGGUUUGAAUCUCCACUUGGCCA